GCGGUGCUGGCGCGGCUGCGCGGCGUGUGGCGCUCCUCGCGCUACGCGGGCCUGCCCGAAAGCAGCCGGCAGCGCUUCGACCGCGUCGCGCAGCGC
This 96-nucleotide transfer RNA is filed under the name Burkholderia gladioli. RNAcentral's name for it is "tRNA-Arg(cct)". Lineage: Bacteria; Pseudomonadati; Pseudomonadota; Betaproteobacteria; Burkholderiales; Burkholderiaceae. The record is from RNAcentral.